AUUGAAGAGUUUGAUCAUGGCUCAGAUUGAACGCUGGCGGCAGGCCUAACACAUGCAAAGUCGAGCGGUAACAGGAAGGAAGCUUGCUUUCUUUGCUGACGAGCGGCGGACGGGUGAGUAAUGCCUGGGAAAUUGCCCUGAUGUGGGGAUAACCAUUGGAAACGAUGGCUAAUACCGCAUGAUGCCUUCGGCUCAAAGAGGGGGACCUUCGGGCCUCUCGCGUCAGGAUAUGCCCAGGUGGGAUUAGCUAGUUGGUGAGGUAAUGGCUCACCAAGGCGACGAUCCCUAGCUGGUCUGAGAGGAUGAUCAGCCACACUGGAACUGAGACACGGUCCAGACUCCUACGGGAGGCAGCAGUGGGGAAUAUUGCACAAUGGGCGCAAGCCUGAUGCAGCCAUGCCGCGUGUAUGAAGAAGGGCCUUCGGGUUGUAAAGUACUUUCAGUCGUGA
RNAcentral lists this ribosomal RNA (449 nucleotides) under Vibrio metschnikovii. RNAcentral describes it as "bacterial SSU rRNA". It matches the Rfam family "Bacterial small subunit ribosomal RNA", at positions 1 to 445 of the family's 1533-position model. The record is from RNAcentral. Lineage: Bacteria; Pseudomonadati; Pseudomonadota; Gammaproteobacteria; Vibrionales; Vibrionaceae.